UACGUAGGGUGCGAGCGUUAAUCGGAAUUACUGGGCGUAAAGCGUGCGCAGGCGGUUUUGUAAGACAGAGGUGAAAUCCCCGGGCUCAACCUGGGAACUGCCUUUGUGACUGCAAAGCUGGAGUGCGGCAGAGGGGGAUGGAAUUCCGCGUGUAGCAGUGAAAUGCGUAGAUAUGCGGAGGAACACCGAUGGCGAAGGCAAUCCCCUGGGCCUGCACUGACGCUCAUGCACGAAAGCGUGGGGAGCAAACAGGAUUAGAUACCCUGGUAGUCCACGCCCUAAACGAUGUCAACUGGUUGUUGGGUCUUAACUGACUCAGUAACGAAGCUAACGCGUGAAGUUGACCGCCUGGGG
RNAcentral lists this ribosomal RNA (354 nucleotides) under uncultured Comamonadaceae bacterium. RNAcentral's name for it is "bacterial SSU rRNA". It matches the Rfam family "Bacterial small subunit ribosomal RNA", at positions 524 to 878 of the family's 1533-position model. The record is from RNAcentral. Lineage: Bacteria; Pseudomonadati; Pseudomonadota; Betaproteobacteria; Burkholderiales; Comamonadaceae.